Molecule: ribosomal RNA, 438 nt
Filed under: uncultured bacterium
Lineage: Bacteria
Description: bacterial SSU rRNA
Rfam family: Bacterial small subunit ribosomal RNA
Source: RNAcentral
GCAUAACGCGAAGAACCUUACCUAGGCUUGACAUGCAUCUCUAAGCGCGUGAAAGCGCGUGACCCUUCGGGGAAUUUGCACAGGUGCUGCAUGGCCGUCGUCAGCUCGUGUCGUGAGAUGUUGGGUUAAGUCCCGCAACGAGCGCAACCCUUGUGACUAGUUGCCAGCACGUUAUGGUGGGAACUCUAGUCAGACUGCCCAGAUCAACUGGGAGGAAGGUGGGGACGACGUCAGGUCAGUAUGGCCCUUACGCCUUGGGCUGCACACGUACUACAAUGCCCAGUACAAUGAGAACCGAGACCGCGAGGUGGAGGAAAUCUAAAAAACUGGGCCCAGUUCGGAUUGGAGGCUGCAACUCGCCUCCAUGAAGUUGGAAUCGCUAGUAAUGGCGCAUCAUCUACGGCGCCGUGAAUACGUUCCCGGGUCUUGUACACACCG